UAAUGCGCCUGAACACAUUCAUGCUCAAGAAGAGUUUUACUUGACUAUUUCUAUAGAAAACUGUUCUGGCCAAGAUAAAAAACUUUUAUUAGUGAUUUCGGAUCAACCAAAAUUAUUACAUCCAGUCGCCAUAGACCAAGAUUUAUGUAUAGAAAAAAGUCAAACUUCCUUGGAAGAAGCUGAAGGUUAUACAAUAUUCCAAGAGCUGGAGAAUUUGGAAGUUGGUUGUAUAUGCGUCGACGAGUGUAUUCCUCUUGGUUGCGUCAAAUCUGCAACUUCAAAAACCGUUUCUGUAAAAUUUUACGCUUUUACUUCUGGAGUGUACGAACUUCCUCCCGUUCGCUUGUGUGAUCAAGUUAAUAAUAAA
Molecule: long non-coding RNA, 367 nt
Organism: Zophobas morio
Lineage: Eukaryota; Metazoa; Arthropoda; Insecta; Coleoptera; Tenebrionidae
Exons: 3
Source: RefSeq, a predicted model, not a curated record